UUGGAGGGCAGUCUGGUGCCAGCAGCCGCGGUAAUUCCAGCUCCAAUAGCGUAUAUUAAAGUUGUUGCAGUUAAAAAGCUCGUAGUUGAAUUUCGGGGUUCUUCCGUUGGUCAGGCUAACAAGUCUGUACUAGCGUGUAGAAUCUCUACCUUCUGGGGAACCAUCAUGUUAUUAAUUUAGCGUGGUGGGAAACCAGGACCUUUACCUUGAAAAAAUUAGAGUGUUCAAAGCAGGCUUACGUCUGAAUACAUUAGCAUGGAAUAAUAAAAUAGGACGGUGGU
This 281-nucleotide ribosomal RNA is filed under the name uncultured Scutellospora. RNAcentral describes it as "partial 18S ribosomal RNA". It matches the Rfam family "Eukaryotic small subunit ribosomal RNA", at positions 548 to 834 of the family's 1831-position model. The record is from RNAcentral. Lineage: Eukaryota; Fungi; Glomeromycota; Glomeromycetes; Diversisporales; Gigasporaceae.